RNAcentral lists this non-coding RNA (148 nucleotides) under Nomascus leucogenys (northern white-cheeked gibbon). The record is from Rfam by way of RNAcentral. Lineage: Eukaryota; Metazoa; Chordata; Mammalia; Primates; Hylobatidae.
GCCGGGCAUGGUGGCGCAUGCUUGUAAUCCCAACUACUUGGGAGGCCCAGGCAGGAGAAUCGCUUGAACCUGGGAGGCAGAGGUUGCAGUGAGCCAAUAUCACGACACUGCACUCCAGCCCAGGCAACAGAGCGAGAUCCUGUCUCAA